RNAcentral lists this transfer RNA (64 nucleotides) under Perumytilus purpuratus. RNAcentral describes it as "tRNA-Cys". Lineage: Eukaryota; Metazoa; Mollusca; Bivalvia; Mytilida; Mytilidae. The record is from RNAcentral.
UGCCUAAUAGUUAAAAUUAGAUAAUGUUAAAUUGCAAAUUUGAAGUAGCUUAAUGCUUAGGCUU